Molecule: long non-coding RNA, 620 nt
Filed under: Rattus norvegicus (Norway rat)
Lineage: Eukaryota; Metazoa; Chordata; Mammalia; Rodentia; Muridae
Description: long non-coding RNA NONRATT012641
Source: RNAcentral
CCCAAUGGCUUCCAUAGCAUCUAGCAGCAGUAUGCAAGUUAGCCAGCAGGGAGAGCUUCUUCAUUAGUUCGAGACUGGUUUCUCUAUGUCCUGCAACAAAAGUGUGUGGUGUUUUCAGCAAUAAGGUCUUCAUAUCUAGUUACGGUGGGUGGCCGAGAGGAAUAAUGGCCUGUGCUGUGCCUUGCUGACCCCCAGGUCGUUUGGGGGAGAUGUCUUAAAGGGUCACUUAAAAUAAGUAGACUUAAAUGCUGGCUCAUUCGUCAACUAACAUAAAACUGUGGGGAUUUAAAUUUUCUGCACGAAUGCUUUAAUGUGUGCCAGAGAGCUUGAUUCAGUAACAGUACAGCCAUGGUGCAGAACAGAGUCGAAAAAGGACUAAGGGAGGAGAUGGCAGAGACCCGAGCAUGAGCCUGGCCGCCAUUAAUGCGCGCACCACCAAAACCCUAUUGCAUCUGGUCUCUGGAUGCCUGAAUGCGAAAGAGACCCAAUUAGAUUCUAUCAAAAAUCGCAGAGGUAAUAUGACCUCUUGGGAAAUAUCUUAAGAUGUGAUGGCAGCUGUGAUCUAAGUGCUUUGAUUAAGCAUUGACUCAAAAAAAAGAAAAGAAAGAAAGAGGGAAGAA